This 396-nucleotide ribosomal RNA is filed under the name uncultured bacterium. Its description in RNAcentral is "partial 16S ribosomal RNA". It matches the Rfam family "Bacterial small subunit ribosomal RNA", at positions 523 to 918 of the family's 1533-position model. The record is from RNAcentral.
AUACGUAGGGAGCGAGCGUUGUCCGGAAUUACUGGGUGUAAAGGGAGCGUAGGCGGGAGUGCAAGUCAGAUGUGAAAUGCAUGGGCUUAACCCAUGAGCUGCAUUUGAAACUGCAUUUCUUGAGUGAAGUAGAGGUAAGCGGAAUUCCUGGUGUAGCGGUGAACUGCGUAGAUAUCAGGAGGAACACCGGUGGCGAAGGCGGCUUACUGGGCUUUUACUGACGCUGAGGCUCGAAAGCGUGGGGAGCAAACAGGAUUAGAUACCCUGGUAGUCCACGCUGUAAACGAUGAUUACUAGGUGUGGGGGGACUGACCCCUUCCGUGCCGCAGUUAACACAAUAAGUAAUCCACCUGGGGAGUACGGCCGCAAGGUUGAAACUCAAAUGAAUUGACGGGG